RNAcentral lists this ribosomal RNA (465 nucleotides) under uncultured bacterium. RNAcentral describes it as "bacterial SSU rRNA". It matches the Rfam family "Bacterial small subunit ribosomal RNA", at positions 28 to 521 of the family's 1533-position model. The record is from RNAcentral.
GAUUAACGCUGGCGGCGUGCCUAACACAUGCAAGUCGAACGAGGUAGCAAUACCUAGUGGCAGACGGGUGAGUAACGCGUGGUCAACCUACCGUUGAGUGGGGGAUAACUAGCCGAAAGGUUAGCUAAUACCGCAUACGUCUCCGAGGGGCAUCCCUUGGCGAUAAAAGGAGCAAUCCGCUCGAUGACGGGACCGCGUCCCAUUAGCUAGAUGGUGGGGUAACGGCCUACCAUGGCACCGAGGGUAGCUGGUUUGAGAGAGCGACCAGCCACACUGGGACUGAGAAACGGCCCAGACUCCUACGGGAGGCAGCAGUGGGGAAUAUUGGACAAUGGCGCAAGCCUGAAUCCAGCCAUGCCGCGUGGGUGAUGAAGGCCCUAGGGUUGUAAAGCCCUUUCGGCGGGGGAAGAUAAUGACGGUACCCGCAGAAGAAGCCCCGGCUAACUUCGUGCCAGCAGCCGCUGU